GUAAAAAUUAAAUUGUCCAUUGAUCUAACUAAGAGGGAGAAUAUAUUCACCUUCUAGCUAGCUAAAUAGACUAAUUGUACUAGCUAGAUGUAACAUUCAUAUUUUCAUUGUACAAGGACUCCCUAGCAAGUUCAUACAAAGGAAAAUCAUCCAUGAUGAGAAUCUCAUCUGGGAUCUCUAAAUUAUUUCCUGCAGUAGUAGUGCCAAUGUCUCUAGGCCCUCGGAAAUAGAAAUCCUCAAGCGAUGAAACCAUGUACUUCUGCUCCUGGUGCAGUGACUGUUGAUGAUCAUGGUGUUGCUGCUGCAGCGGUUGUUGUUCUUGUUGUUGCAUCUGAUACUGAUGAUAUUGAUGAGGAUAAUUAUUAUAACUGCCAAAAAAUGGACUCAUUAUUGUAGUUUCAAUAUUGUGAUUUUGUGCACUACCCAGUUGAAAAUUCAGGUUGAUUGGACCCAUUUGUCUACCGAAUGAUCUAGUUGUGCUAUUACAGCCAGUAAAUUGCUGCACCAAGGCUCUAAAAUUUUUAGUAUUGGCAUUGAGAAGGGUAGUGGGUGUCUUCUUAGACGCCCUAGACCUCCUUCUGAUUGUCUUCGACACACAAACCUUAGGGGUCAAGGGAGCAGUUGCUGUAGUUGAACAGGUAGGGCUUAACACUAAGCUAUGAUCAGAAGCACCAAUUGGUGUAGUUGUUGUGGUUGUAACUAUGGUGGCAUCUGAAAAUCCAAGGGAAGAAGAAUAAGGUUCAGCCUGCCCAUGAAUAGAUGUUUGCUCAUGGAAUGGGAACCACUCACUGGAGCUAGGAAUAGU
RNAcentral lists this unclassified non-coding RNA (805 nucleotides) under Hevea brasiliensis (rubber tree). The record is from RNAcentral. Lineage: Eukaryota; Viridiplantae; Streptophyta; Magnoliopsida; Malpighiales; Euphorbiaceae.